Molecule: small RNA, 28 nt
Filed under: Bombyx mori (domestic silkworm)
Lineage: Eukaryota; Metazoa; Arthropoda; Insecta; Lepidoptera; Bombycidae
Description: ovarian small RNA-35723
Source: RNAcentral
UGUCGAUCAGGCGAGUGACGCCAACCCA